UACGAAGGGGGCUAGCGUUGCUCGGAAUCACUGGGCGUAAAGGGUGCGUAGGCGGGUCUUUAAGUCAAGGGUGAAAUCCUGGAGCUCAACUCCAGAACUGCCUUUGAUACUGAAGAUCUUGAGUUCGGGAGAGGUGAGUGGAACUGCGAGUGUAGAGGUGAAAUUCGUAGAUAUUCGCAAGAAUACCAGUGGCGAAGGCGGCUCACUGGCCCGAUACUGACGCUGAGGCACGAAAGCGUGGGGAGCAAACAGG
This 253-nucleotide ribosomal RNA is filed under the name uncultured bacterium. Its description in RNAcentral is "partial 16S ribosomal RNA". It matches the Rfam family "Bacterial small subunit ribosomal RNA", at positions 524 to 776 of the family's 1533-position model. The record is from RNAcentral.